Molecule: ribosomal RNA, 451 nt
Filed under: Porphyromonas sp. oral taxon 279
Lineage: Bacteria; Pseudomonadati; Bacteroidota; Bacteroidia; Bacteroidales; Porphyromonadaceae
Description: bacterial SSU rRNA
Rfam family: Bacterial small subunit ribosomal RNA
Source: RNAcentral
GAUGAACGCUAGCGAUAGGCUUAACACAUGCAAGUCGAGGGGCAGCAUGGUCUUAGCUUGCUAAGGCUGAUGGCGACCGGCGCACGGGUGCGUAACGCGUAUGCAACUUGCCUCACAGAGGGGGAUAACCCGUCGAAAGACGGACUAAUACCGCGUACACUCCAUCUUGGGCAUCCAAGGUAGAGGAAAUGAAAUUCGCUGUGAGAUAGGCAUGCGUCCCAUUAGCUAGUUGGUGAGGUAACGGCUCACCAAGGCGACGAUGGGUAGGGGAACUGAGAGGUUGAACCCCCACACUGGUACUGAGACACGGACCAGACUCCUACGGGAGGCAGCAGUGAGGAAUAUUGGUCAAUGGGCGAGAGCCUGAACCAGCCAAGUCGCGUGAAGGAUGACUGUCUUAUGGAUUGUAAACUUCUUUUAUACGGGAAUAACAAGAGUCACGUGUGACUCC